Long non-coding RNA from Gossypium arboreum, 959 nucleotides. RefSeq lists it as uncharacterized. The record is from RefSeq and is a predicted model, not a curated record. The transcript is spliced from 4 exons. NCBI's taxonomy places the organism in Eukaryota, Viridiplantae, Streptophyta, Magnoliopsida, Malvales, Malvaceae.
AAAGCUAAACAGAAAUUAAAUAAAACAUCCAGUCUGAUAGCAGUUGGAAUCUAAUUAGCAUUUCGCAUUUAAUGCAUCAAUUCUAAUCCCCAGAAAAGCGGUUUCUAAAACCCGUUAAUUUCCACUUUCCUUUUUACUUUCCACGCAGAGACCCUCUAUCAAACAACCAUCAAUCAGGUUCAUUUCUUCUCCGUGGAUCCAUCUCCAAUGAUUUUGGCUCAAGGACCUUUCCGACCAGGCACGCAAGGGCCUCUUCUGCAAAUGAAGAGGCCACCUCCCCGUGGACCUCUGUUUUGAAGGUGAGGACCUCUCCCGAAGCAUUUCUAGCCACCACCCAUGAGACUAAUUUUGCCUGAGAGUCAUCAAAAGCGGCAUUGAAAUUCAAUUUGACAAUGGAAUCAAUUGGUGGGCACCAACCUAUAGACUCAUGCCUCGUGAUCGCCCACAAAGAGCAACAAAAUACUCGACAUUGAAUGCUGGAACUGUUCUUGAACACCCAGGGCAUUCUCUGAAGAUAUGGUCAAUGUUUUCAUCAGCUACCCCACAUCUGGGAUAGACUACCUCUGAGAGCAAUCUCUUGCACCGAAGAUUAACAAAAUGGGGAAUAAAAUUCCAAGAAAUUUUCUAGAUUAGGAUUUUAAUUUUCACUGAAAUGUGAAUAUUCAAUAAUUUUUUUGUAAAAUAACUUAGCCUCAGUCUGUAAAUAAUUAAGAAUAAAGCCAUGUAAUAGUUUACAAGCACUUCUCACCGAGAUUUCUCUCUGGGCCUCCCCCUUCCAUACCGUGAAGUCCGCAUGAGGUUCCAUUGCUAAGGGAAUUCGUACAAUUCUAAUUAUUUCUUCUCUAGAGAAGGUAGAAUAAAUUAAAUCAGACUUCCAUUCUAUCUUUUGUUCAUUAAUAAGCUCUGCCACUUUACUUAGUUCACUGGAAUUCCUAAUUGAUUCUACCUUAUUGUCGAAA